Molecule: ribosomal RNA, 207 nt
Filed under: uncultured bacterium
Lineage: Bacteria
Description: partial 16S ribosomal RNA
Rfam family: Bacterial small subunit ribosomal RNA
Source: RNAcentral
UGCGCAGGUGGGCUGGUAAGUUCGAUGUGAAAGCCCCGGGCUUAACCCGGGAAUGGCAUUGGAUACUACUGGUCUGGAGGAUUGGAGGGGGGACUGGAAUUCUUGGUGUAGCAGUGAAAUGCGUAGAUAUCAAGAGGAACACCAGUGGCGAAGGCGAGUCCCUGGACAAUUCCUGACACUGAGGCACGAAAGCCAAGGGAGCAAACA